Molecule: ribosomal RNA, 168 nt
Filed under: Pomacentrus chrysurus (whitetail damsel)
Lineage: Eukaryota; Metazoa; Chordata; Actinopteri; Pomacentridae
Description: partial 12S rRNA
Source: RNAcentral
CACCGCGGUUAUACGAGAGGCUCAAGUUGACAGACAACGGCGUAAAGAGUGGUUAGGGAACUUUUAAAACUAAAGCCGAACGUCCUCAGAGCUGUUUAACGCUUCCGAGUUAAGAAGGUCUUUUACGAAAGUAGCUUUACCAAACCUGACCCCACGAAAGCUGUGAAA